RNAcentral lists this unclassified non-coding RNA (739 nucleotides) under Hevea brasiliensis (rubber tree). Lineage: Eukaryota; Viridiplantae; Streptophyta; Magnoliopsida; Malpighiales; Euphorbiaceae. The record is from RNAcentral.
AGUGAUCUGCUGCAAAUCACCAGCAGCACCAGUGGUCACUUCAGGUUCACCAAAGAUCACUUCUUCUGCAGCUCUUCCACCAAGUCCACCAACAAUUCUAGCAAAGAGUUGUUGCUUGGAUAUUAAGGUUGGGUCAUCUGCAGGAAUGAACCAGGUCAAACCUUUUGCCUGACCACGUGGGAUUAGAGUGACCUUUUGUACAGCAUCAUGCCCUGGAGUGAGAGUUCCACAGAUGGCAUGUCCAACUUCGUGAUAUGCCACCAGACUCUUGCUCUUGCCAUCAGUCAUGACUGUUCCUUCCAUACCAGCCACUAUCCUAUCAAUUGAAUCAUCAAUCUCUUUGGAUGCGAUUGCUGUCUUACCACGUCGACCUGCAAGAAUGGCUGCUUCAUUUAAGAGGUUAGCAAGAUCUGCUCCACUGAAACCCGGUGUCCUCAUGGCAAUAACUUCAAGAGACACAUCUGAAUCAAACUUCUUGUUGCCGGCAUGAACCUUUAAGAUCUCUGUUCUUCCCUUGAUGUCUGGGACAUCCACGGAUACUUGUCUAUCAAAUCGUCCUGGCCUCAGCAAAGCAGAGUCAAGAAUAUCUGCACGAUUGGUUGCCGCAACAACUAUUAUACCAGUAUUUCCUUCGAAACCAUCCAUUUCAGUCAAUAGUUGGUUCAGGGUCUGUUCCCUUUCAUCAUUUCCUCCUCCAAUUCCAGUCCCUCUUUGCCGCCCAACAGCAUCAAUUUCAUCA